GACGAACGCUGGCGGCGUGCUUAACACAUGCAAGUCGAACGGAAAGGCCCUGCUUUUGUGGGGUGCUCGAGUGGCGAACGGGUGAGUAACACGUGAGUAACCUGCCCUUGACUUUGGGAUAACUUCAGGAAACUGGGGCUAAUACCGGAUAGGAUCUCCUGCUGCAUGGUGGGGGUUGGAAAGUUUCGGCGGUUGGGGAUGGACUCGAGGCUUAUCAGCUUGUUGGUGGGGUAGUGGCUUACCAAGGCUUUGACGGGUAGCCGGCCUGAGAGGGUGACCGGCCACAUUGGGACUGAGAUACGGCCCAGACUCCUACGGGAGGCAGCAGUGGGGAAUAUUGCACAAUGGGCGGAAGCCUGAUGCAGCAACGCCGCGUGCGGGAUGACGGCCUUCGGGUUGUAAACCGCUUUCGCCUGUGACGAAGCGUGAGUGACGGUAAUGGGUAAAGAAGCACCGGCUAACUACGUG
This 468-nucleotide ribosomal RNA is filed under the name uncultured bacterium. RNAcentral's name for it is "partial 16S ribosomal RNA". It matches the Rfam family "Bacterial small subunit ribosomal RNA", at positions 28 to 507 of the family's 1533-position model. The record is from RNAcentral.